This 89-nucleotide transfer RNA is filed under the name Pseudomonas paraeruginosa PA7. RNAcentral's name for it is "tRNA-Leu". It matches the Rfam family "tRNA". From Rfam's summary of the family: Transfer RNA (tRNA) molecules are approximately 80 nucleotides in length. Their secondary structure includes four short double-helical elements and three loops (D, anti-codon, and T loops). Further hydrogen bonds mediate the characteristic L-shaped molecular structure. tRNAs have two regions of fundamental functional importance: the anti-codon, which is responsible for specific mRNA codon recognition, and the 3' end, to which the tRNAs corresponding amino acid is attached (by aminoacyl-tRNA synthetases). tRNAs cope with the degeneracy of the genetic code in two manners: having more than one tRNA (with a specific anti-codon) for a particular amino acid; and 'wobble' base-pairing, i.e. permitting non-standard base-pairing at the 3rd anti-codon position. Lineage: Bacteria; Pseudomonadati; Pseudomonadota; Gammaproteobacteria; Pseudomonadales; Pseudomonadaceae. The record is from RNAcentral.
UGCCUCGGUGGCGGAAUCGGUAGACGCGGCGGAUUCAAAAUCCGUUUCUGGCGACAGAGUGAGAGUUCGAGUCUCUCCCGAGGCACCAU